Arachis ipaensis is the source of this 3554-nucleotide non-coding RNA. NCBI's taxonomy places the organism in Eukaryota, Viridiplantae, Streptophyta, Magnoliopsida, Fabales, Fabaceae. The record is from RefSeq and is a predicted model, not a curated record.
UUCUUCAACUUGACUCAACAAUUCUUGAAAUGAAGGUUGGUUCAAGUAUGAUAUCAGAAUCACGAACCGCCUCAUGUUGUCUCCAACAUAGACUGCAAGGUAGCCUUUUGGUAUAUCAAUUCCCUUGGAAAUUGUUUUUGUUGCCCUUUUAAUACUUGGAAUACGGAAAUCCAUGUUGUAUAGUGGUUUUUUCAAAGAACUUGUAUGAGAAAUAAGUAUUUGAGUUAGGAUACUUGAGGAUGCAAAUGACUUGUGUUAAUUUAGAACCCCAAGAAAUUUGGUAUAUAUAGAUGCUAAGGGAAGUAGGGAAUCUUCAAAUCAAUUUCCAACUGAAAUUAUUUUUGAUGAGUGAUAAAGGAUCACAUGGCAUUGUCUUGGAGGUGUUUCUAUGGAUUGCUAAGUUGAAAAGGAUUGCAUACCCUACUUUCUGAUACAGUGGCUAACAAAUUACCCUCUUGAAAGCAAAGACAUAUGCAUAGCAUGGGUGACACCAAAAAUAUGUCCAUGCAUUAAACCAUACAUAAUCUAUUAAUAGAUAUGCUUUAGACAUCACACGUCCUCUUUUUCUUUCUCUUUUUCUCUCCCUUAGAUUGACAUUGAUGUUGAAAUGCAUCUGCGAGGUGCCAACUUAUACCAGAUUGACUUUGAAAAAUACUGUUACAAAGAGAACCAACAUAGCAUACAUGAUGACAUGCCAGUGUAUAUAUUCAUAAAGUUCAAAGCAUCCUCCAAUCAGACUAUAGAUUUUGAUUUAUAUAUGCAUUGAAUUCCUUCUUUUUUCUUGGAUAAAGAUCAUACAACAGUUAGAUUCCUUUUUAUUAUUCUGAAUUUUUGUAAGAAUCAUUGUAUCAUACCAAGAAAGACCAAAAGUGGAAAGUUUGAUAAUGGUUUUAGCUUCAUACUCAUGACAGCUGUUAUACAAGUCACUGGCCUUUAGUCUAUUUGGUUAUUUUAGACCUAAAGUUUAUUUGAUUUGUUAAACUGACAUUAUUGGAAAGAAGGAAAUAUAGCAAUGAAUAAGUGGAUUAAGAUAUCUUCAGAUAGCUUCAUACUCCCCUCGCAUUAGUUAGUGUUUUUGGGCCGGACCGGCCCAUGUUGUCAUCGGCCCGUUUGUAGGACACGAGCGCGACCAACACCGUCUUCCCCGCCAAAAUUCAAUAGUAUAAAUAUUAAAUACGCAGACAUUUUCUGUCGGAAAAUUCAUUGUCAUUUGUCAGUUUUGUUUCUAGUUUCUACUGUCUUCGUUCUGGCUAUUUCAUUAGUAACUGUAGUUGGUUCAUUGUCAAGAAAAGGAGGAUAUCUAAUGGAACACGGCACUUUUCAGUUUUCACCCUUCAUUCUAGCUUUCCUGAUUUUCUUAUCCUGCCGCCAAUUCCAUUGAAAUGCACCGUAAUCACACCGUUUCUUUUUCUCUUCUUUUAGUGUUUUGGUAUUCUCAGGUGAAAAAGGUCGACCCUCCAAGAAACAGAAAACCGCGAAAGCCGUUAAUUCUCUCCUACAUCUCUGAUAUCAGUUCGUUUCUUUCAUUCUCGCAAACUUCUGCUGUUUUGCUUACAUUGUUUCAAACAGGGAGAUGGCGAAAAAAGCAUUGACGAUGACGGUAAUCUUCAUUCACCGUCCAAUUUUCAAUUUCAUGCAACCCUACUCUAGGGUUGAGGGGUUUUUGGCGUGAAUCAGAUGGUAGAACCAAAUAUUUUAGCAAAUUGGAGUUGAAACCAGAUAACCUAAAUCGCCCUCUCCCUUGUACAAGCAUGCUUACGAUUUUCUCAUUGCCAUCACCGAACCUGUCUGCAGGUUCCUUGUUAUUGGAAUAUAUAAAAAGAUGAUGAUUCCAGUACAAAUAUGCAAUGUUGUGUUAAACGAUUGGUGCUGCACAGACCGGAGUCAAUGCAUGAGUACAACCUUACUCCGCACUCCUUGUAUGCCGCGGUUUCAGUAGGUCCGGAAACAGAAACAAUCAUAAAUGUUUUGACCAAGUUGUCCAAGACCAAGCUUCCCAAAGAGAUGAUUAAGUUUAUACAUGAUUCCACUGCAAAUUAUGGCAAAGUGAAGCCGGUGCUUAAGAAGAACAGCUACUUUGUUGAAUCUCCUGUUCCUGAGGCAUGUAGAAAUGUCGGAUGCCCCUAGCAAGCAAUUUCUGCAAAUGCUUUUUUCAGAUCUUAUGCGGUUCAUACUUCAAAUUUUUGCAGGUCUUGAAGACAUUGCUCAGGGAUAAAACUAUAUCUAGAGCAAGGAUUGUUUCUGAGGUGAAACUCAAAUUCAGUAUUGAUUUUUAUUUUUGUGGGGUACAAAUGGGAAUGGAUUUACAAUCAGCAAAGCAGCAGGUGAAAUUGAAGGCACUCACGAUGAGUUGUUCGAUGAAGCAGAAGUAGCAGCUGUAGCUGAAGAUAAAGAAGCUCAUUCAUUUGAAAUUGAUCCUUCUCAGGUGAAUCCAGACAUUGACAUGGAACUAAAGCCUCAAGCACAACCUCGACCACAUCAAGAGAAGAGCCUUAGUAAAAUGUUUGGAAAUGACUACAAUAUUCGGGACCACUGUUAAACCAUGCAGUGUAUUAUGACAAAAAUUGAAGUAAAGGAAACAUACACACCUUGGAACAUAUUUUUGCAGUGUGCAAGCCUAUCAAUGGUCCUUCCUCACUUGGAAACCUCAUGUAAUGAGCUAGUGGUAUGGCGUUUGGAUGAUUUGUAGUAGGUAGAGCAAGAUCUGGUAUAAUAGUUCUCCCACGUGGCGCUGGAAAGUCCCUAGUUGGUGUUUCUGCAGCUUGCCGGAUAAAAAAGAGCUGCCUUUGUUUGGCAACAAAUGCCGUCUCUGUAGAUCAGUGGCCUUUUUAGUUUAAACUUUGGUCAACUAUCCGUGAUGAACAAAUAACAUCUGAUAGCAAAGAGAGAUUCCAUGCCAUGUCGAGCGGACAAAAAUUCUUCAAGCCUUCAAAACUAGCAAAGACGUCAACACUAUUUUCCUUUCCAAGGUGGGUGACAACUCUAUUGAUAUCCCUGAAGCAAAUUUAAUAAUUCAAAUCCCUUCUCAUGCCGGUUCAAGGCGUCAAGAAGCCCAAUGUUUAGGGGGUAUAUUCUCAGGGCAAAGGGAAAACCUCAAGAUAGGAUGGCAGGUGGUAAAGAGGAGUAUGACGCAUUUUUUUAUUCGCUUGUGUCAACAGAUACCCAGGAGAUGUAUUACUCAAUUAAGAGAUAACAAUUUUUAAUUGAUCAAGGUUAUAGCUUUAAGGUAAUUACAAGCUUGCCUCCAUCUGAUGAAGGGCUUCGUUUGAGCUAUUAUCAUCUUGAGGAUCAACUUGCACUUCUUGCAAAGGUCUCCAUUUUCAUUCUGUUUAGAAUUGGAUUCAAAUUUUUUCCAAGGAAAACAACUGACGCCCAUCUAUCUGGUAUUGAAUGCUGGUGAUGAUGCUGUUGGAUCGGAACAACUAGAAGAAGAUACAGAUGAAAUAGCUCUUCAUGGUGCCCGUCGUUCUCAAACAUCAAUGAGCACCUUGUCAGGUGCAAAAGGGAUAGUGUACAUGGAGUACAGUACUGGGCAUAACACCGUCAAGCACAGA